UCUGCUCACAGAAAAAAGCGGCCACCGCCAGCCGCUGCUUCUGCUGGCGUCGCCGCAGCAGAGCAGCCAUUAUCCUGCAGGAGGCUGCGACCUGAUCCCUGGGCCGUGCAAUUAGCAUGGCUGCGAAAUAAACGAAAGCCGAAAAGGCCAGCGAAUCCACAAAUACUCGAAAAACUCGGUGCCAAAGUGUUGAAAAUACAGGGGAUGUAUGUUCCCCAAAAUAUAUUGAUUGCCAAACUAGUAAAACCUCAAGUAAAAAUGGAUUUAGAGCUGCAUUCCGAGCAGGACACACAAACUACACGGAGCAUCUGCCGGAACUCCCUCCACCUCCUCCUCCUCCUCCUCAUCCUCCGGCCAUUACUCAGCAGUCUUAGCAGGGCUUAGUGCUGAAUCAUCGGCACCAUCGUUACCGAUUACCAAUUUACUCAUUUACCGAUUUGGAGCAGGAACGAGAAGGCUUAAGAAGUGGCGCCCAACGCUGGGAACUGCUUCUUCUGCUUCUUCCACUGGCGACAGCGAUCCAGGUCGGGAGCUUAGCGAGGCGACUUGCUGAUUGAUUUCAGUGCAAACAGAAGACCCCGGAGCCAACUCCCCGCCCUCGGGCAGAUCUAUCAUUCAUUAAAUGUGUUUCUUGUCUAUCCAAUUUCCAGGCCGCGCACCCAUUUUAUCGACGUGAAGAAAGUGCCGUAAUCCGGGGGCAAUCAAUUAGAUACAAGCGCACUAAGCACUCCCAAAGACAUCGCCGUAUCUUAUCUUAUCGCCGCUUCUUCCGAUAAGGUCGGGCCUUACUUUCCGCACUCUGUUUUUUUCGGACUACUGCCUAAUCUCGGGGCCCUCGGCGAGGUCUUGGCUUCAGUUGGUUUCCAGAGGCGAGGGCGAAGACAACACGGAGCUGGCUCCUGCGGCGGAAAGGCUUCCGUGACUCUCCGGACACGGACACGGACACGGACACGAACACGGACACGGAGACCUCGCGAUUGCCUCCAUUUAAUUGGCAGGCCACCGCGAGCUUUGUAAUCACAUUUAUGGGUCGUUCCAUAAUUUCGAAGGGAAUCAGGCAAACGGUUGUAUAGUAGUCGCCAGCCAUCGCCGCAUCACGUGUGGCACGAUAAAUAUAAUAUACCCGAGGCGCAUGUAAUUGCCCCGCCGCCUAAA
Molecule: non-coding RNA, 1155 nt
Organism: Drosophila suzukii
Lineage: Eukaryota; Metazoa; Arthropoda; Insecta; Diptera; Drosophilidae
Source: RefSeq, a predicted model, not a curated record